GAUAAACGCUGGCGGGAGGCCUAACACAUGCAAGUCGAGCGGUAACACUUCGGGUGACGAGCGGCGAACGGCUGAGGAACACGUUGAUACCUGCCCCGAACUCAGGGAUAACAUCGAGAAAUCGGUGCUAAUACCGGAUAGUCCCGAAAGGGUAAAGAUUUUUCGGUUCGGGAGGGGUCUGCGGCGUAUCACGCUUGUUGGUAAGGUAAAAGCUUACCAAGGCUAUGACGCGUAUCUGGUGUGAGAGCACGACCAGACAGAGUGGGACUGAGACACGGCCCAC
Molecule: ribosomal RNA, 283 nt
Filed under: uncultured bacterium
Lineage: Bacteria
Description: partial 16S ribosomal RNA
Rfam family: Bacterial small subunit ribosomal RNA
Source: RNAcentral